RNAcentral lists this ribosomal RNA (854 nucleotides) under Pochazia shantungensis. RNAcentral's name for it is "SSU rRNA". It matches the Rfam family "Eukaryotic small subunit ribosomal RNA", at positions 797 to 1661 of the family's 1831-position model. Lineage: Eukaryota; Metazoa; Arthropoda; Insecta; Hemiptera; Ricaniidae. The record is from RNAcentral.
GAUCGAUCUUGCAUAGGACUCGGUCUAUUUUGUUGGUUUUCGGAAUCUGAGGUAAUGAUCAAUGGGGACAGGCGGGGGCAUUCGUAUUGCGACGUUAGAGGUGAAAUUCUUGGAUCGUCGCAAGACGGACCGAAGCGAAAGCAUUUGCCAAGUAUGUUCUCGUCGAUCAAGAACGAAAGUUAGAGGUUCGAAGGCGAUCAGAUACCGCCCUAGUUCUAACCAUAAACUAUGCCUGCCAGCGAUCCGCCGAAGUUCCUCCGAUGACUCGGCGGGCAGCUUCCGGGAAACCAGAGCUUUUGGGUUCCGGGGGAAGUAUGGUUGCAAAGCUGAAACUUAAAGGAAUUGACGGAAGGGCACCACCAGGAGUGGAGCCUGCGGCUUAAUUUGACUCAACACGGGAAAACUCACCAGGCCCGGACACCGGAAGGAUUGACAGAUUGAGAGCUCUUUCUUGAUUCGGUGGGUGGUGGUGCAUGGCCGUUCUUAGUUGGUGGAGCGAUUUGUCUGGUUAAUUCCGAUAACGAACGAGACUCUAGCCUACUAACUAGGCGUACCCGGUAUCCACAAUCGUGCUACCGGCGAUCAAAUUUCUUCUUAGAGGGGAGAGGGGGGCUUCUAUCCGCACGAGACUGAGCAAUAACAGGUCUGUGAUGCCCUUAUAUGUCCUGGGCCGCACGCGCGCUACACUGAAGGAAUCAGCGUGUCUUCUCUGUCCGAGGGACCGGGUAAUCCGCUGAACCUCCCUUUGUGGUGGGGGUGGGGGGGUUGCAGUUGUUCCCCAUGAACGAGGAAAUUCCCAGUAGGCGCGAAGUCAUAGGCUCGCGUUGAUUGACGUGCCGUGCGCGUUAGGAGGG